UUGAAAGAAACCGUGAUCCGCUUGUGAUGUUGGAAAGAGAACUUCUAGAGCUACAAUUUAUACAAAAAUAAGAUACGUUAAAACUACGCUCCGCUUAUGCCGCUAGAAAGAAGACUUCUGAAACUACAAUAUCUAUAAUAAUCAGGAUUGAUGAACCAACUGGGAAAAGAGUUGCUGAGGUGAUUUCUGACACAAUUAUCAACCAGCUCCCACCGUUCCAUCGGAUAAUUUAUCCUUAUUGAUUGCACACCAUCGUUGAAUAGCUGUUUCAUUUCCUUUUCAUCCAUCCUUAGAGCCUUUGGCAAUUGACAUGGGAUGAUCAUUGGUAGGCUCUUGAUUUAAUUGCAGUAUGCUUCCAUGAUAUUCCUACAUUUUGAAAUUAUCAAUCAUGAUCACCUUGAAACUAUACAAUCAUCAAACCACAUU
Molecule: long non-coding RNA, 426 nt
Organism: Nicotiana attenuata
Lineage: Eukaryota; Viridiplantae; Streptophyta; Magnoliopsida; Solanales; Solanaceae
Exons: 3
Source: RefSeq, a predicted model, not a curated record